GACGAACGCUGGCGGCGUGCCUAAUACAUGCAAGUAGAACGCUGAAGGAGGAGCUUGCUUCUCUGGAUGAGUUGCGAACGGGUGAGUAACGCGUAGGUAACCUGCCUGGUAGCGGGGGAUAACUCUUGGAAACGAUAGCUAAUACCGCAUAACAGUAGAUAUCGCAUGAUAUCUACUUGAAAGGUGCAAUUUCAUCACUACCAGAAGGACCUGGCUUGUAUUAUCUAGUUGGUGAGGUAACGGCUCACCAAGGCGACGAUACAUAGCCGACCUGAGAGGGUGAUCGGCCACACUGGGACUGGGACACGGCCCAGACUCCUACGGGAGGCAGCAGUAGGGAAUCUUCGGCAAUGGACGGAAGGCUGACCGAGCAACGCCGCGGGAGGGAAGAAGGGUUUCGGAUCGUAAAGAUCUGUUGUAAGAGAAGAACGAGUGUGAGAGUGGAAAGUGCACACUGUGACGGUAUCUGACCAGAAAGGGACGGCUAACUACGUG
Molecule: ribosomal RNA, 495 nt
Filed under: uncultured bacterium
Lineage: Bacteria
Description: partial 16S ribosomal RNA
Rfam family: Bacterial small subunit ribosomal RNA
Source: RNAcentral